CUACGGGCUGCAGCAGUGAGGAAUAUUGCACAAUGGGGGGAACCCUGAUGCAGCAACGCCGCGUGGAGGAUGACGCAUUUCGGUGUGUAAACUCCUUUUAUAUGUCAAGAAAAUGACGGUAGCAUAUGAAUAAGCACCGGCUAACUCCGUGCCAUCAGCCGCGGUAAUACGGAGGGUGCAAGCGUUACUCGGAAUCACUGGGCGUAAAGGACGCGUAGGCGGGUUGGAAAGUCAGGUGUGAAAUCCUACAGCUUAACUGUAGAACUGCACUUGAAACUUCUAAUCUAGAGUAUGGGAGGGGGAGAUGGAAUUAGUGGUGUAGGGGUAAAGUCCGUAGAUAUCACUAGGAAUACCUAAAGCGAAGGCGAUCUCCUGGAACAUUACUGACGCUAAGGCGUGAAAGCGUGGGGAGCAAACAGGAUUAGAUACCCCCGUAGUC
RNAcentral lists this ribosomal RNA (439 nucleotides) under uncultured bacterium. Its description in RNAcentral is "partial 16S ribosomal RNA". It matches the Rfam family "Bacterial small subunit ribosomal RNA", at positions 339 to 795 of the family's 1533-position model. The record is from RNAcentral.